GUCUAACGAGAAAGUUCUUCGGAAUGAGUAAAGUGGCGGACGGGUGAGUAACACGUAGGUAACCUGCCCUCGAGAAGGGGAUAACAUGCCGAAAGGCGUGCUAAUACCAUAUAAUGUCACGAGAACUAUGGUUUUUGUGAUCAACGGAUGGCCUCUAUUUAUAAGCUAUCGCUUGAGGAUGGGCCUGCGUACCAUUAGCUAGUUGGUAGGGUAACGGCCUACCAAGGCUGUGAUGGUUAGCUGGUCUGAGAGGACGACCAGCCACACUGGAACUGAGACACGGUCCAGACUCCUACGGGAGGCAGCAGUGGGGAAUCUUGGACAAUGGGGGAAACUCUGAUCCAGCAACGCCGUGUGAGCGAUGAAGGUCUUCGGAUUGUAAAGCUCUGUCACUUGGGAAGAAACUCGUAAGCAUCAGAUCCUUACGAUUGACGGUACCGAGAGAGGAAGCACCGGCUAACUCUGUGCCAGCAGCCGCGGUAAUACAGAGGGUGCAAGCGUUAUUCGAAAUUAUUGGGCGUAAAGCGCGAGCAGGCGGCGAUAUAAGUCUUGUGUGAAAUCUUCGGGCUCAACCCGAAAAAGUCAUGAGAAACUGCAUUGCUAGAGUAGAUGAGAGGAGAGCGGAAUUCCCAGUGUAGUGGUGAAAUACGUAGAUAUUGGGAGGAACACCGGUGGCGAAAGCGGCUCUCUGGCAUCUCACUGACGCUCAUUCGCGAAAGCG
RNAcentral lists this ribosomal RNA (721 nucleotides) under uncultured microorganism. Its description in RNAcentral is "bacterial SSU rRNA". It matches the Rfam family "Bacterial small subunit ribosomal RNA", at positions 61 to 761 of the family's 1533-position model. The record is from RNAcentral.